UCUGGCAUCGGUCGGGCUCUAUUAUGUACUGUUGGCCAUGCUCAAUUUUUGUCAUCUCCCUUCACAACAGGUGAAAAGAAAACAAUUGCAUCAUACAAAGACAGCGUGCAGCACAGCAUGCAGCAUAACAUCGCACACUUCAAUCUCUUUCCUUGGGAUCUUGGCAGACUCAUCCCCACCAGAGAUGAGUCCAAUGAGAGUGGUGUCGUCUGCAAACUUCAGGAGCUUGACUGACUGAUGACUGGAGGUGCAGCUAUUGGUAUACAGGGAGAAGAGUAGAGGAGAAAGGACGCAGCCUUGAGGGGAGCCGGUGCUGAUGGUCCGGGAGUCGGAGACGUGUUUCCCCAGCUUCACGUGCUGCUUCCUGUCA
This is a long non-coding RNA of Anguilla rostrata (American eel), 370 nucleotides long. RefSeq lists it as uncharacterized. The record is from RefSeq and is a predicted model, not a curated record. The transcript has 3 exons. NCBI's taxonomy places the organism in Eukaryota, Metazoa, Chordata, Actinopteri, Anguilliformes, Anguillidae.